AAUAGAUACCCGGUAGUCCACGCCCUAAACGAUGUCUACUAGUUGUUGGUGGAGUAAAAUCCAUUAGUAACGCAGCUAACGCGUGAAGUAGACCGCCUGGGGAGUACGGUCGCAAGAUUAAAACUCAAAGGAAUUGACGGGGGCCCGCACAAGCGGUGGAUUAUGUGGAUUAAUUCGAUGCAACGCGAAAAACCUUACCUGGCCUUGACAUGCCACUAACGAAGCAGAGAUGCAUUAGGUGCCCGAAAGGGAAAGUGGACACAGGUGCUGCAUGGCUGUCGUCAGCUCGUGUCGCGAGAUGUUGGGUUAAGUCCCGCAACGAGCGCAACCCUUGCCAAUAAUUGCCAUCAUUCAGUUGGGCACUUUAUUGGGACUGCCGGUGACAAACCGGAGGAAGGUGGGGAUGACGUCAAGUCCUCAUGGCCCUUAUGGCCAGGGCUUCACACGUAAUACAAUGGUCGGUACAGAGGGUAGCCAAGCCGCGAGGUGGAGCCAAUCCCAGAAAGCCGAUCGUAGUCCGGAUUGCAGU
This 529-nucleotide ribosomal RNA is filed under the name uncultured bacterium. Its description in RNAcentral is "bacterial SSU rRNA". It matches the Rfam family "Bacterial small subunit ribosomal RNA", at positions 777 to 1304 of the family's 1533-position model. The record is from RNAcentral.